RNAcentral lists this ribosomal RNA (249 nucleotides) under uncultured bacterium. RNAcentral's name for it is "partial 16S ribosomal RNA". It matches the Rfam family "Bacterial small subunit ribosomal RNA", at positions 84 to 334 of the family's 1533-position model. The record is from RNAcentral.
UUUGAUGGCGACCGGCGCACGGGUGAGUAACACGUAUCCAACCUGCCGAUGACUCGGGGAUAGCCUUUCGAAAGAAAGAUUAAUACCCGAUGGCAUAGUUCUUCCGCAUGGUAGAACUAUUAAAGAAUUUCGGUCAUCGAUGGGGAUGCGUUCCAUUAGGUUGUUGGCGGGGUAACGGCCCACCAAGCCUUCGAUGGAUAGGGGUUCUGAGAGGGAGGUCCCCCACAUUGGAACUGAGACACGGUCCAA